ACCAGACUCCUACGGGAGGCAGCAGUGAGGAAUAUUGGUCAAUGGGCGCGAGCCUGAACCAGCCAAGUCGCGUGAGGGAUGACGGCCCUACGGGUUGUAAACCUCUUUUGCCGGGGAGCAACGGGCGCCACGUGUGGCGCCACUGAGAGUACCCGGAGAAAAAGCAUCGGCUAACUCCGUGCCAGCAGCCGCGGUAAUACGUAUGGAGCAAGCGUUAUCCGGAUUUACUGGGUGUAAAGGGAGCGUAGGCGGUAAGGCAAGUCUGAUGUGAAAGGCCAGGGCUCAACCCUGGGACUGCAUUGGAAACUGUUUAACUGGAGUGUCGGAGAGGCAAGUGGAAUUCCUAGUGUAGCGGUGAAAUGCGUAGAUAUUAGGAGGAACACCAGUGGCGAAGGCGGCUUGCUGGACGAUGACUGACGCUGAGGCUCGAAAGCGUGGGGAGCAAACAGGAUUAGAUACCCUAGUA
Molecule: ribosomal RNA, 466 nt
Filed under: uncultured bacterium
Lineage: Bacteria
Description: bacterial SSU rRNA
Rfam family: Bacterial small subunit ribosomal RNA
Source: RNAcentral